Molecule: long non-coding RNA, 302 nt
Organism: Mesocricetus auratus (golden hamster)
Lineage: Eukaryota; Metazoa; Chordata; Mammalia; Rodentia; Cricetidae
Exons: 2
Source: RefSeq, a predicted model, not a curated record
AACACCAUCCGCACAUGUUCCUCAUGGACCUCAAACAACCGGAGAAGCACAGGAAUCACUCGUGACUGGAACAGUGCUGGCGAGAGCAAGCAAGGAGUCUCCCCUGGUGCAUUCUCUACCCCAAAUCAGAAGGGGAUCCAGUACCCUCUAGUGUCUUCCAUGGGGACCAGCCAUGCAUGUAAGGUAUAAAUAUAAAUUAAAAAUAUGUUCUCUAAUCUGAUGUGUCACCAUUGAAAGUCUUAUAAAUCUUACAAAGUUUUCAAGCAAUCACUUUUUCCAAGAAAUAAAGUGAUUUUCACCAA